GGGGGUCUGUAGCAGUAGAGUAGCCUUGUUGCUACGAUCUGCUGAGGCUCAGCUCUUGUUCUACAGAUUUGUGCUUUUGCACUCUCUCCGGUUGCGACCGAGUGGGGCAGUCCUCUGUCCUCCUCGGUAGCUAUCGUAGACAGUGGCUUUAUAGCAUUAGGACUUGUACAAGUAAGGUGGAUGUCGGAGUAGUAGCCCACUGCCUCUACUGAGCGCACGGCGAACCAAGGGAGGGCUCAAGGUCGACACAAUUUGUAGGCUUUGAAAGAUUUCUAUUACAUCUAAAGGGUAUAUACACUUACAAGGGUGCUUGAGGAUCUCCUCGGGCGCCCGUCAUGGCCUGAGGGCUGCAGGUGGGUGCGGUUUAUAAGGCGUGUAAAAGACAUACUAGUAUCUACGGCCAUAGGACUGAGAAAAUACCGCAUCCCGUCCGAUCUGGA
RNAcentral lists this unclassified non-coding RNA (440 nucleotides) under Cutaneotrichosporon spelunceum. Lineage: Eukaryota; Fungi; Basidiomycota; Tremellomycetes; Trichosporonales; Trichosporonaceae. The record is from RNAcentral.